RNAcentral lists this ribosomal RNA (432 nucleotides) under uncultured bacterium. Its description in RNAcentral is "partial 16S ribosomal RNA". It matches the Rfam family "Bacterial small subunit ribosomal RNA", at positions 29 to 507 of the family's 1533-position model. The record is from RNAcentral.
ACGCACGCUGGCGGCAUGCCUAACACAUGCAAGUCGAACGAAGCCUUCGGGCUUAGUGGCGCACGGGUGCGUAACGCGUGGGAAUCUGCCCCUUGCUUCGGAAUAACAGUUAGAAAUGACUGCUAAUACCGGAUGAAGUCUUCGGACCAAAGAUUUAUCGGCAAGGGAUGAGCCCGCGUAGGAUUAGGUAGUUGGUGGGGUAAAGGCCUACCAAGCCGACGAUCCUUAGCUGGUCUGAGAGGAUGAUCAGCCACACUGGGACUGAGACACGGCCCAGACUCCUACGGGAGGCAGCAGUGGGGAAUAUUGGACAAUGGACGCAAGUCUGAUCCAGCAAUGCCGCGUGAGUGAUGAAGGCCUUAGGGUUGUAAAGCUCUUUUACCAGGGAUGAUAAUGACAGUACCUGGAGAAUAAGCUCCGGCUAACUCCGUG